Molecule: long non-coding RNA, 348 nt
Filed under: Nicotiana benthamiana
Lineage: Eukaryota; Viridiplantae; Streptophyta; Magnoliopsida; Solanales; Solanaceae
Description: long non-coding RNA (NBEN_LNC041356)
Source: RNAcentral
AAAAUCAUAACUCCAUCUACAACACCUUCAUCUCACCCAACCUAAUUAAGGAAGAUAUAAUGAUCUGAGAAGCUACCUCAAAUGGAAUUUAUUCCACAAAAUCGGCUUACUCACUCCUGGAUACUUUUCAACACCAAAUAAAGGAAUUCAUGAGCCACAAUUUUUUGUGGAUCUGGAAAUUGAAAGUUCCAAAGAAGAUUUAAUCCUUUUUUGGCUACUAUUCCAUGAGAGGCUUUCUACUGGAGCUUUUCUCCACCAUGUUGGGAUACAAACAUACCCCAUAUGCAACCUGUGCAAUCAAGCAAAUGAGAAAUUAGCACACAUUUUUUUUAAUGCACAAACUCAAAU